This 266-nucleotide unclassified non-coding RNA is filed under the name uncultured fungus. Its description in RNAcentral is "sequence contains ITS1, 5.8S rRNA gene". The stretch from base 218 to 266 matches the Rfam family "5.8S ribosomal RNA", at positions 1 to 49 of the family's 154-position model. Lineage: Eukaryota; Fungi. The record is from RNAcentral.
UCUUCGUAGGUGAACCUGCGAAGGGAUCAUUACUGAGAUAGGGUUCUUCCGAGCCCGACCUCCAACCCUUUUGUCUACCAAACCUCUGUUGCCUCGGCGGGUCGCCGGCCCCUUUACUGGGAGCCGCCGUCGGCCCUCGUGCUCUCGAGUGCCCGCCGCAGGACCUAUCAAACCCUUUUUAAACGAGUUCAUUCUGAGUGGUAUUUAAUACAAACAAAACUUUCAACAACGGAUCUCUUGGUUCUGGCAUCGAUGAAGAACGCAGC